UGGGCAACCUGCCCUCAGCUCUGGGAUAACUCCAAGAAAUUGGGGCUAAUACCGGAUAUGACCGCUGACCGCAUGGUCUGAUGGUGGAAAGAUUUAUCGGCUGGGGAUGGGCCCGCGGCCUAUCAGCUUGUUGGUGGGGUAGUGGCCUACCAAGGCGACGACGGGUAGCCGGCCUGAGAGGGUGACCGGCCACACUGGGACUGAGACACGGCCCAGACUCCGUACGGG
This 228-nucleotide ribosomal RNA is filed under the name uncultured bacterium. Its description in RNAcentral is "partial 16S ribosomal RNA". It matches the Rfam family "Bacterial small subunit ribosomal RNA", at positions 118 to 345 of the family's 1533-position model. The record is from RNAcentral.